UGUAUUUUUAUUUCGCAGAUGCCUAUCUGUUCUUAAAAUAAUAUGAUUUAAGAGGAAUGCUAAGAAAUUUACACAUUAUACGUUAUACUUAGUGGUAUAAAAAAAAAUUUGAAUUUAAUGCAUCAUUUUUUUUUUUUUCAAAAUCAAGUUUUGACGAAAAUUGUAAAAAUUAUAGCAUUUCAAAAUAUGUCUUACCGAACUUCUCUCGUAAUCGUGUUUCGUUAGCAAUGGUUUAUCAUUGUGUACAGAUAUAAAUAUAAUAAUCUUCUUAAUUUCCCAAUUUUUUUUUUUUCAUUUCCGUCAGCCCGUUAACGAGAUAUUCCACUUUUAAGUUAUGGUAGGGAAAUGAAUAGUGUAGUAUCAUUUGUGUAUAAUGGCACGGCACGCGGCGUUUUAUUAGAGUUUCAAUAGAAGCCGGUGUGACGGUGGGGAUGGUUGUCACAGCAAAAAUAAAAGUAACAGAACGCGUUUGAUAGAAAUAAUAUACCAAAUGUGAUGAAAAUCAAUUUGAC
Cinara cedri is the source of this 512-nucleotide non-coding RNA. NCBI's taxonomy places the organism in Eukaryota, Metazoa, Arthropoda, Insecta, Hemiptera, Aphididae. The record is from the annotation of a GenBank genome assembly.